UCCGAACCCGUCGGCUGU
Molecule: small nuclear RNA, 18 nt
Filed under: Arabidopsis thaliana (thale cress)
Lineage: Eukaryota; Viridiplantae; Streptophyta; Magnoliopsida; Brassicales; Brassicaceae
Description: snRNA_01289
Source: RNAcentral